CCUACGGGAGGCAGCAGUCGAGAAUCAUUCACAAUGGGGGAAACCCUGAUGGUGCGACGCCGCGUGGGGGAAGGAAGUUCUUCGGUUUGUAAACCCCUGUCAUGUGGGAGCAAAUGAAGAUGAUAGUACCACAAGAGGAAGAGACCUCUAACUCUGUGCCAGCAGCCGUGGUAAUACAGAGGUCGCAAGCGUUGCUCGGAAGCACUGGGCGUAAAGCGGGCGUAGGCUGUUUCGUAAGUCGUGUGUGAAAGGCGCGGGCUCAACCCGCGGACGGCACAUGAUACUGCGAGACUAGAGUAAUGGAGGGGAAACCGGAAUUCUCGGUGUAGCAGUGAAAUGCGUAGAUAUCGAGAGGAACACUCGUGGCGAAGGCGAGUUCCUGGACAUUAACUGACGCUGAGGCACGAAGGCCAGGGGAGCGAAAGGGAUUAGAUACCCCUGUAGUC
Molecule: ribosomal RNA, 446 nt
Filed under: uncultured bacterium
Lineage: Bacteria
Description: partial 16S ribosomal RNA
Rfam family: Bacterial small subunit ribosomal RNA
Source: RNAcentral